RNAcentral lists this long non-coding RNA (557 nucleotides) under Rattus norvegicus (Norway rat). Its description in RNAcentral is "long non-coding RNA NONRATT020140". The record is from RNAcentral. Lineage: Eukaryota; Metazoa; Chordata; Mammalia; Rodentia; Muridae.
GCUCACCUUUCUGUGUUUUGAAGGGAAGUGGUUGCAUACGAUGAUCCCAAAAUUCCACUUUUCAACACGGAUGUGGACAACCUCGAGGGGAAACCACCACCAGUCUUUGCUUCUGAAGGCAGAUACAGGGCUCUGAAGAUGGACUUCUCUCUUCCUCCCUCUACUUACGCCACCAUGGCCAUUCGAGAAGUGCUCAAAAUGGACACCAGCAUCAAGAACCAGACCCAGCUAAACACGAGCUGGCUGCGAUGAGCAGUGGGUCUGAGUAGUGGGUCGCUCAGAGAGCGGAUGGACGGAUAGACAGAUGCAGACCUGCUUCCGACCUGUUCUGUUCUUUUUAUGUGCUGACUCAUGUUUGGGAUAUGAAUCUUUUAUAGUAAAGAAUUAUUUGUAUUUUGUAAAGUUUGUAUCAGCUUAAAUACUUUGCAAUAUUUGUACACAUGUACAAAUCCUGAGGAUCCUAGUUAUAGCUCAGAAAAUUAAAAUUGGUCAGAAUAUCCCUUAGGUGCUUAAAUUCUAGGACAGUUUCAGCUUUGUGGCUUUAUAAGAAUAAAGGG